CUGAUGAAUCACAGACCUGUACCCCUGCAACAAAUAAUAUAUUAUAUGUUAAACAAAACAAAAAAUCCUCCCGGUCUGGCACGUCCCUAAAUAUGGUGGUUCAUUGGAAGCAAGUUGAGUGAGCCUAGGGGGUACACAAACAAUUUUUUAUUUUAAUAGUGAUGUUUUUGUUUUAACAUUUAUUAGAAAAAAAUGUGAACUAGAACCUCCUGCUAAUGCUCUCCCCAGCAUUCCUGCAUCAAUGGAGGCUUAAAAAAGAAGGAGCCCCUGGGCCUCCAGCUUUGCUCAGCUCCUGAAUUCUACACAGUAGGGAACAGACAUGACAAACAUGAGAGCAGGCAAAGGGAGCUGUAGUUAUGGAUGCCCAGGAAAAUUCAGAAUUCCCUCCAGGGAAGUAGGCUUCCUGACUAUGGGAGGGAGCAGGUCCCUAGGGCCAGGGGAGGUGUGACCAUGAGGUCACAGGCUUGGCAUGCCCCCCUGUACCCCAAACCCCCUCCAACCAGCAGCCAGGAGAGGGCUGGGCAGUACCCAAGCUCAGCUGCUUCUUAAAACAGCAGUAACUGUCAUGUGUUCCCUUUACUGAGGCCUUCGCUCGUCUGCUCUCCAGUGUCUUUGGUACCCAGAUCCCAAGUCACGGAGUGCUUCUCUCCCAGCUGUGCCGUUUGUCCCCGGAAGAGACAGACGCCUGAAGAUAUCUACUGUCUGCAGAUGAAAACAAAAUGCCAGAAAAUGCCCCAUUUCCUGUCUGUCCAGCUGCCUUACAGUCUUUGGAUUCCGAGACUUGGACUGCAUGCACAGCAUGAGAUUACCUUAAUUUACGCUGCUCCCAAGUACACCUUGCGAAGCUCUGUUUAAACUGAAAGAUCUAUCCUUGAGGUCUCCACGCAGCUUUCACCACCAAAGGGAGGCCGCCAACCACACCAAGAGACCUGUCCCCAGCUCGGAAUCCCCGAAACCCCCAGAGCGGGGAGGAACGGCUCCAUUUCGCGUGACAGCUAGCUCGCUUGAGGAUCAGUGGAAAACUCAGCGACACUGGGAGUAAAGAAGUUGGAAAGAAUGUUGGUCUUUGCUGGGAUUUAAUAUGACAGAUUUCUGGCUCUGAACUUGGACAAGAUUAACUCUUCGUUCUGAAGGAAAAAAAGGAGGGGAAAAAAAAAAAACCCACCUCUCUGAAAUCACAGUUUGGUGGAAAAAUGUGCAGCUCUCAAAGUGUCACAGGCCAUCAGAUUUGCACGUUCCCUUUUUCCGGGGCUGCAUAUUUCCUGCGUCGGACAAUAUGUUUGUUACCCUUCUUCUGUGCCAGGGACACAUACAGUAAAUUGUCAGCUCGAACCAUGUAAUCUCUUAACCAGAAGGCUCCAACAUCUGCUGGCCAGUUGUCGCAUGGUUGGAUCAUUAACAUGGCUUCUAAUUUUACCCUUUGAAUUUAACAUAAAAGUUUUAAUGAGCGUAUGUAAUUCAUACUUUCCAACUUCAGAGAGUCCUGAAAGAGAAACCUAUGCUUUUAUAAUCCAA
Mustela lutreola (European mink) is the source of this 1515-nucleotide long non-coding RNA. RefSeq lists it as uncharacterized. Lineage: Eukaryota; Metazoa; Chordata; Mammalia; Carnivora; Mustelidae. The transcript has 2 exons. The record is from RefSeq and is a predicted model, not a curated record.